UACGUAGGGUGCGAGCGUUGUCCGGAAUUAUUGGGCGUAAAGAGCUCGUAGGCGGCUUGUCGCGUCGUCCGUGAAAACUUGGGGCUCAACCCCAAGCUUGCGGUCGAUACGGGCAGGCUGGAGUUCGGUAGGGGAGACUGGAAUUCCACGUGUAGCGGUGAAAUGCGUAGAGAUGUGGAGGAACACCAAUGGCGAAGGCAGCCUUCUGGGCCAACACUGACGCUCAUGCACGAAAGCGUGGGGAGCAAACAGG
RNAcentral lists this ribosomal RNA (253 nucleotides) under uncultured bacterium. RNAcentral describes it as "partial 16S ribosomal RNA". It matches the Rfam family "Bacterial small subunit ribosomal RNA", at positions 524 to 776 of the family's 1533-position model. The record is from RNAcentral.